RNAcentral lists this ribosomal RNA (117 nucleotides) under Eubacterium pyruvativorans. The record is from RNAcentral. Lineage: Bacteria; Bacillati; Bacillota; Clostridia; Eubacteriales; Eubacteriaceae.
UCUGGUGGCAAUAGCGAAGAUGUUACACCUGUUCCCAUCCCGAACACAGUAGUUAAGCUCUUCAGCGCCGAUGAUACUUGGCGGGUGACUGCCCGGGAAAGUAGGACGCUGCCAGUU